Molecule: long non-coding RNA, 442 nt
Organism: Oncorhynchus tshawytscha (Chinook salmon)
Lineage: Eukaryota; Metazoa; Chordata; Actinopteri; Salmoniformes; Salmonidae
Source: Ensembl
AGAGAGAAGAGAGCAGAGAGAGGGGGAGAGAGAGAAUGUAGAGAGAGGGGGAGAGAGAGAAGAGAGCAGAGAGAGGGGGAGACAGAGAGAGAGAGAAUGGUAGAGAGAGGAGAGAUAAGAGAGCAGAGAGAGGGGGAGACAGAGAGAGAGAGGAUGAGAGAGAGAAGAGAGCAGAGAGAGAAGAGAGCAGAGAGAGGGGGAGACAGAGAGAGAGAGGAUGGUAGAGAGAGGGGGCAGAGAGAGAAGAGAGCAGAGAGAGAGAGAGAUACUUAGAGAGAGAGAGAGCUACAGAGAGAGAGAGAGAUACAGAGAGAUACAGAGAGAGAGAGAGAGAGAGAGAGAGAAGGAGAACUCUUCUACCUGUUGAAACCAUUGGCCCUUCUGCCUCUGGCUCCCCUCCACCACCUUUUAUUUAUGGUUGGUGGCUUGGUGUCUUUAACAG